AUUGGACGCUGGCGGCAUGCUUUACACAUGCAAGUCGAACGGUAACAGGGUGCUUGCGCCGCUGACGAGUGGCGAACGGGUGAGUAAUGCGUCGGAACGUGCCGAGUAGUGGGGGAUAACGCAGCGAAAGUUGUGCUAAUACCGCAUACGUACUGAGGUAGAAAGUGGGGGACCUUCGGGCCUCACGCUAUUCGAGCGGCCGACGUCUGAUUAGCUAGUAGGUGAGGUAAAGGCUCACCUAGGCGACGAUCAGUAGCGGGUCUGAGAGGAUGAUCCGCCACACUGGGACUGAGACACGGCCCAGACUCCUACGGGAGGCAGCAGUGGGGAAUUUUGGACAAUGGGCGAAAGCCUGAUCCAGCCAUGCCGCGUGUCUGAAGAAGGCCUUCGGGUUGUAAAGGACUUUUGUCAGGGAGGAAAUCCCUAGUGCUAAUAACACUGGGGGAUGACAGUACCUGAAGAAUAAGCACCGGCUAACUACGUGCCAGCAGCCGCAGUAA
Molecule: ribosomal RNA, 500 nt
Filed under: uncultured bacterium
Lineage: Bacteria
Description: partial 16S ribosomal RNA
Rfam family: Bacterial small subunit ribosomal RNA
Source: RNAcentral